RNAcentral lists this unclassified non-coding RNA (302 nucleotides) under plant metagenome. RNAcentral describes it as "partial contains 5.8S ribosomal RNA, internal transcribed spacer 2, and large subunit ribosomal RNA". The stretch from base 1 to 105 matches the Rfam family "5.8S ribosomal RNA", at positions 50 to 154 of the family's 154-position model. The record is from RNAcentral.
GAAAUGCGAUAAGUAAUGUGAAUUGCAGAAUUCCGUGAAUCAUCGAAUCUUUGAACGCACAUUGCACCCUCUGGCAUUCCGGGGGGCAUGCCUGUCCGAGCGUCAUUACGCACCCUCAAGCCCGGCUUGUGUGAUGGGCGUCUUGUCGGAAUAUCCGACUCGCCUUAAAUACAUUGGCAGCCGGCACUUUGGCCUAGGAGCGCAGCACAUUUUGCGAUCGUAAGCCGUUGUGACAGCAUCCAUAAGAUUUAUUUUACCACGUUUGACCUCGGAUCAGGUAGGGAUACCCGCUGAACUUAAGC